RNAcentral lists this ribosomal RNA (497 nucleotides) under uncultured bacterium. RNAcentral describes it as "partial 16S ribosomal RNA". It matches the Rfam family "Bacterial small subunit ribosomal RNA", at positions 28 to 507 of the family's 1533-position model. The record is from RNAcentral.
GAUGAACGCUGGCGGCGUGCCUAAUACAUGCAAGUCGAGCGAACAGACCAGGAGCUUGCUCCUCUGACGUUAGCGGCGGACGGGUGAGUAACACGUGGAUAACCUACCUAUAAGACUGGGAUAACUUCGGGAAACCGGAGCUAAUACCGGAUAAUAUAUUGUACCGCAUGGUUCAAUAGUGAAAGACGGUUUUGCUGUCACUUAUAGAUGGAUCCGCGCCGCAUUAGCUAGUUGGUAAGGUAACGGCUUACCAAGGCGACGAUGCGUAGCCGACCUGAGAGGGUGAUCGGCCACACUGGAACUGAGACACGGUCCAGACUCCUACGGGAGGCAGCAGUAGGGAAUCUUCCGCAAUGGGCGAAAGCCUGACGGAGCAACGCCGCGUGAGUGAUGAAGGUCUUCGGAUCGUAAAGCUCUGUUAUUAGGGAAGAACAAAUGUGUAAGUAACUAUGCACGUCUUGACGGUACCUAAUCAGAAAGCCACGGCUAACUACGUG